CCUACGGGUGGCAGCAGUGAGGAAUAUUGGUCAAUGGACGAGAGUCUGAACCAGCCAAGUAGCGUGAAGGAUGACUGCCCUAUGGUUUGUAAACUUCUUUUAUAUGGGAAUAAAAUGUUCCACGUGUGGGAUUUUGUAUGUACCAUAUGAAUAAGGAUCGGCUAACUCCGUGCCAGCAGCCGCGGUAAUACGGAGGAUCCGAGCGUUAUCCGGAUUUAUUGGGUUUAAAGGGAGCGUAGGUGGAUUGUUAAGUCAGUUGUGAAAGUUUGCGGAUCAACCGUAAAAUUGCAGUUGAAACUGGCAGUCUUGAGUACAGGAGAGGUGGGCGGAAUUCGUGGUGUAGCGGUGAAAUGCUUAGAUAUCACGAAGAACUCCGAUUGCGAAGGCAGUUCACUGGACUGCAACUGACACUGAGGCUCGAAAGUGUGGGUAUCAAACAGGAUUAGAUACCCUAGUAGUC
RNAcentral lists this ribosomal RNA (460 nucleotides) under uncultured bacterium. RNAcentral describes it as "partial 16S ribosomal RNA". It matches the Rfam family "Bacterial small subunit ribosomal RNA", at positions 338 to 795 of the family's 1533-position model. The record is from RNAcentral.